UUUGUUUACUAGAACAAUAUAAAAUAUAAGUUAGUAUUGCAUAUUAAGCAUAUUGUUAUUUUUGUGAUUAUAUGCUCUCUAUGUUAACCAAAUUUGCAGCCUUCUAAAUCCAGUCUAUUUUGUUUCUUUCUUCUUCCUUGUCCAAAGAUAGUGUUUUGUUUCAUAUUUACAUGUUUUUUGUCUUAAUUUACAGAUAUGAAUCUUAUCUAUUUUUUGGUGUGCUUGAAAUAAAAAUUAUGAUACUAACAUAUUGGUAGAUCUUCUUGUCUUGCAUUAUCUCUAAGGUAUAAAGAUGUUUCAUAUGGUAACUUCUUUUAUUUUUUAAUCUGAGUUUGGGUUGGAAAAGACUUGUUUUUUUUUAUCCAUAGUGUUUCUUCAAUAAGUUGUUUGAUUUAGUUCUAAAAGUUCCUAUAGAUUUGUGAGUUUCGACUUGCUUUUGGUGUAUUGAAGUUUAAUUUAACUUUUCUUUUCUAUUAAUUGGACUUCAGGAUAAAGGAUUUUUCCUCCAGCUUAUUUGUAUUUGUUUGUAUUAGAUAUAGGUGAUAAGUUGUUCUAGUCUAUUUAGGCUAGUGUGUGGUUGUGGUUUGUUAUUACAAGUUUUUAAUUCUAUUGUGUUUUUCUUCAUAGUUGUAUUCUUUCAUGUUCUGAUAGUUUUAGAAUUCAUAUUUGAGUUACAUCUAUUAAUUUUGUUGAUUCUUUUCUACUUAGGGUGGUGGAUUCAGACUUAUUUAUAAUAGGUUAUAUAUAUAUAUAUAAAUAUAAAUAUCUAUUAAUUUUGUUGAUUCUCUUCUACUUAGGGUGGUAUUCAUUUUUUUUUGCCAAUGAUGUUAAAAUAAUGAGAAUGCUUAUUAUGUUGGUAAUUACAGGACUUAUUAUGCUCUUAUAUUAUUAAAGGCAUACAAAGUGUCGUAAAUGCCCAUAAUAGGUCAUUCUUUUUCUUUGUGAAAUAUUUAUGAUGAUUAAAUUGAGGAUAUUCUAUUAUUAAAUUGGGAAUUUUAUUAUAUUGUAAUUCACAACAUCAUUGGUCUCCCGACCGUCUCAAACUUUGUCAACAUUCUUACAAGGGAAUAUCAUAGGACUGACUUUUAAGGUGGAUGCCUAGAUUUAUUAGGAAGAAUAUUGAGAAAAGAAACAUGAUUGAGUUUGGAGUGAUUUGGAGAAGAGAAUUAUGCUGUCUUGUUGAGAUUUGUUGUAUUAUAUAUUUUGAAGUUUAUGGAUUUAUAAUAUUAUAAUGAAUUUUUAUUGAGAAUUAUUUAGUCUCAUGGGGAUUUGAUGUAUUAUUUAUAUUUCAAUUGUAUGAAUAAAUGUUGUAUGUAUAUGAA
This is a long non-coding RNA of Humulus lupulus (European hop), 1322 nucleotides long. RefSeq lists it as uncharacterized. The transcript has 2 exons. The record is from RefSeq and is a predicted model, not a curated record. NCBI's taxonomy places the organism in Eukaryota, Viridiplantae, Streptophyta, Magnoliopsida, Rosales, Cannabaceae.